This 520-nucleotide long non-coding RNA is filed under the name Salmo salar (Atlantic salmon). RNAcentral's name for it is "lncRNA (ENSSSAG00000105132.1)". Lineage: Eukaryota; Metazoa; Chordata; Actinopteri; Salmoniformes; Salmonidae. The record is from RNAcentral.
AAAUGGUGAUCAACAGUGUUGUUGUCACAGAAGAAGUUGACCGAGUUUUGAAAUCAGUGAAAUAUCUGGUAGAAGCAGAGUAUGAUAAGGAGAUUGCAAAGGCAUUGGGAGUCGAAAAGAUAACACUGAAGGCUAUUGUAUAAAACAGCUGUCUCCGGAUUACACCUUCAAAAAGAUCUGAUGAUUUUUAGGGCAUUGCACAUGGUCAGUGUGAACCAGAGUGACUUGACACAAUGGGACAUGCAAGCUGCGCAAACAAAACAACACAGGACUUCUUAUUUAAUGAAAGGAGUUGCAGUCGUCCGUGAAGCUUUCAUCCAUGUAUACAGAGGUACGUGUAGUCGGGCUGUCUUCCAUCAGGUAUCUGUGGAGAAAAUUGCUGCCCCACAUCUCAAGCACUAAGCCCAGGCCUGAAGAUGGUUGCUGACUGCAAGACCACCUGUCAAGACCUGCAGUUGUCUCUGGGGGCCACUACUGAACCAGCAAGCAAACACAUCCGGAUGCAUUACAGCUUUGAUUU